RNAcentral lists this ribosomal RNA (693 nucleotides) under Triticum aestivum (bread wheat). Its description in RNAcentral is "partial small subunit ribosomal RNA". Lineage: Eukaryota; Viridiplantae; Streptophyta; Magnoliopsida; Poales; Poaceae. The record is from RNAcentral.
AUGUAUGAGGAUGUGGUUCAGUGGCGUUUCACGGGUUUUUAUGGUCACCCAAAAUGGAAUGAACGCCAUCUAUCUUGGAAUGAUAUUCGCAAUCUACAUAGUAAGGGCAACCACCCCUGGGUGGUUUUAGGGGAUUUUAACGAAAUUUUAUAUCCUUCAGAAAAUGAGGGCGGUAUGGCAAGACCACUUGGUAUGAUGAGAGAACUCCGUGAAUGCCUAAUGGAUUGUGGGCUUGACGACUUAGGCUACACAGGUGACCUUUUCACUUGGAGAAGAGGCGAAAUACGUGAGCGUCUUGAUCGGGCGGUCUGUAAUUUAGCGUGGGCAAAUAAAUUUCCACGAGCGGCAGUGAUCAAUGAAAAACAUGUUCAUUUUGACGAUCACCCAAUUGUACUGGACAUGGAUUAUUUGGAUGAAAAAAUCUUUAAACGGCUAGAGGGGCAUGUUAUACAAUUUGAGGCGAGGUGGUUGAAGGAAGACACGGUCACUAAAAUUGUUAAGGCAUCUUGGGAGAAAGCAAAGCUCACAGGUAUCGGACCAUCGCUUGCUGAUCGUACGAGAGCAGUGCAUGCCGAUUUGCACACUCGGGGUCGGGAAAUUUUAAAGGGACCGAAGGUGAGAAUUAGGAAACUAAAAAAAGAAUUGGAGAAAGUAAGGCGUGGCUCACUGAAUACAGAAUCUCGAUGUCGUUAG